This 74-nucleotide transfer RNA is filed under the name Fistulina hepatica ATCC 64428. RNAcentral's name for it is "tRNA-Met (CAT) (tRNA-Met-CAT-1-1)". It matches the Rfam family "tRNA". From Rfam's summary of the family: Transfer RNA (tRNA) molecules are approximately 80 nucleotides in length. Lineage: Eukaryota; Fungi; Basidiomycota; Agaricomycetes; Agaricales; Fistulinaceae. The record is from RNAcentral.
GUCUGCAUGGCUCAGCUGGUUAGAGCGCCGGUCUCAUAAUCCGGAGAUCGUGAGUUCGAUCCUCACUGCGGACA